RNAcentral lists this ribosomal RNA (253 nucleotides) under uncultured bacterium. RNAcentral describes it as "partial 16S ribosomal RNA". It matches the Rfam family "Bacterial small subunit ribosomal RNA", at positions 524 to 776 of the family's 1533-position model. The record is from RNAcentral.
UACGUAGGGUGCGAGCGUUGUCCGGAAUUAUUGGGCGUAAAGAGCUUGUAGGCGGUCUGUCGCGUCUGCUGUGAAAAUCCGGGGCUCAACCCCGGACUUGCAGUGGGUACGGGCAGACUAGAGUGUGGUAGGGGAGACUGGAAUUCCUGGUGUAGCGGUGAAAUGCGCAGAUAUCAGGAGGAACACCAAUAGCGAAGGCAGCUCGCUGGGACGGUACUGACGCUAAGGCGCGAAAGCGUGAGGAGCGAACAGG